UCAGUGGUGUCAGCAGAAACAUUUAUCUUCUGGUUUUGAUUAUGUGACAAAGGACCAGUAAACCUGACAAAGUGUUGGUCUCUGGACAAUUUUUCAGUCAAUUUGCCUUCCGAUUUGGUUGCAGUUGAAUCAAGAAACUUUGAAGUUUCAGUAUGGUUUAGCAUCCAAUCCAUUUCUUCUUCUUUUGAUCUCGAGCCCAUGUUAGAAAAGGAUGACUAGAGAAACUUUGAAGUUUCAGUAUGGUUUAGCAUCCAAUCCAUUUCUUCUUCUUGUGAUCUCGAGGCCAUGUUAGAAGGUGUACCACUCGUAUUAGUGAACCUUUCUUUUGUAUGGAAGUUAA
This 340-nucleotide long non-coding RNA is filed under the name Nicotiana benthamiana. Its description in RNAcentral is "long non-coding RNA (NBEN_LNC006450)". Lineage: Eukaryota; Viridiplantae; Streptophyta; Magnoliopsida; Solanales; Solanaceae. The record is from RNAcentral.